This 467-nucleotide ribosomal RNA is filed under the name uncultured bacterium. RNAcentral's name for it is "partial 16S ribosomal RNA". It matches the Rfam family "Bacterial small subunit ribosomal RNA", at positions 28 to 507 of the family's 1533-position model. The record is from RNAcentral.
GACGAACGCUGGCGGCGUGCUUAACACAUGCAAGUCGAACGGAAAGGCCCUGCUUUUGUGGGGUGCUCGAGUGGCGAACGGGUGAGUAACACGUGAGUAACCUGCCCUUGACUUUGGGAUAACUUCAGGAAACUGGGGCUAAUACCGAUAGGAGCCUCUGCCGCCUGGUGGGGGUUGGAAAGUUUCGGCGGUUGGGGAUGGACUCGCGGCUUAUCAGCUUGUUGGUGGGGUAGUGGCUUACCAAGGCUUUGACGGGUAGCCGGCCUGAGAGGGUGACCGGCCACAUUGGGACUGAGAUACGGCUCAGACUCCUACGGGAGGCAGCAGUGGGGAAUAUUGCACAAUGGGCGGAAGCCUGAUGCAGCAACGCCGCGUGCGGGAUGACGGCCUUCGGGUUGUAAACCGCUUUCGCCUGUGACGAAGCGUGAGUGACGGUAAUGGGUAAAGAAGCACCGGCUAACUACGUG